AUCAAGAAGACUUUGAUUUUAAGUAAUUUUUAUUAUUAAGUUUUUGUAAAAUAACUUUGCUUAACAAAAAAAAAUGUAAACAAGCUAAUUUUCCAAUAGGCCUGGUUGUAAAUUUGCAGGGAUUUACUCAAUCGUUAAGUGAGGAACAAUAAUAGAGUUAAAAUAUGGACUGGUUUGUUCUAUUUACAACCUCAGAUGUCAUAUGGCUUCAACUUUCCUGCCAAAUGGAUUAUCAAAAGUGCCAGAAGAUCAUAAUUGAAUAGUACAAGAUUUUACAUCAUCAGAGAGAGAAAUUUAGGAUAAAUUCAUAAAAAAUUGGUACAAAUUACUUAGGGUAUUCAGUUUAAUGACUUGGAGAAUCUCCAAUUUCAUCAAUCUUUGACCAGGAUCCAAUAAUGAAACAAAAGGAGGGAUUCAAACCCAAUACUCGGACCAAUCACAUUGAAUCGUGGAAGUCCUCAAAAGGACCUAUUAGAGAUCUUACAAAAAAGAAAUACCAGUUGAUAAAGAGAACAGAGAACUGGUAUGUAGGUUUAACUUAUGUUGUGUUUUAUGAAUGUUUGUACUCAUGUGCCAAAACAAACCUCUAUAAUUCCAUCUGAUGAUAUGGAGACUUUGGAACUCCUUCUCUGAUAAAUCCAGGUACAAUCUUAUUGUUAAUUGAUAUAACUUUGGUCUAAACUUUUAU
Molecule: long non-coding RNA, 688 nt
Filed under: Androctonus crassicauda
Lineage: Eukaryota; Metazoa; Arthropoda; Arachnida; Scorpiones; Buthidae
Source: RNAcentral